This 738-nucleotide ribosomal RNA is filed under the name Ophiocordyceps sphecocephala. RNAcentral describes it as "partial large subunit ribosomal RNA". It matches the Rfam family "Eukaryotic large subunit ribosomal RNA", at positions 74 to 937 of the family's 3401-position model. The record is from RNAcentral. Lineage: Eukaryota; Fungi; Ascomycota; Sordariomycetes; Hypocreales; Ophiocordycipitaceae.
AUUGCCCUAGUAACGGCGAGUGAAGCGGCAACAGCUCAAAUUUGAAAUCUGGGGAGUCCGAGUUGUAAUUUGCAGAGGAUGCUUUUGGUGCGGUCCCUGGAACGGGACGCCACAGAGGGUGAGAGCCCCGUCUGGUCGGACGCCUAGCCUCUAUAAAGCUCCUUCGACGAGUCGAGUAGUUUGGGAAUGCUGCUCAAAUCGGGAGGUAUAUGUCUUCUAAAGCUAAAUACCGGCUAGAGACCGAUAGCGCACAAGUAGAGUGAUCGAAAGAUGAAAAGCACUUUGAAAAGAGGGUUAAAUAGUACGUGAAAUUGCUAAAAGGGAAGCGCUUACAACUAGACGUAGGGGCAUUCAAUCACCUAGGGCACUUGGGUGUUUAGGCCAGCAUCGGUUCUACGGGGGAUAAAGGAAUGUGGCCCUCUCCUAGCGUGUAAUGCCCUGUAGCAGACCGAGGCUGCGUAUUAGUUGUUAGCGACCCGUCUUGAAACACGGACCAAGGAGUCGUCCUCGUAUGCGAGUAUAUGGGUGUAAACCCCUGUGCGAAAUGAAAGUGAACGUAGGUGAGGUGCAUCACCGACCGAUCCUGAUGUUCUCGGAUGGAUUUGAGUAAGAGCAUACGGGGCCGGACCCGAAAGAAGGUGAACUAUGCCUGCGUAGGGUGAAGCCAGAGGAAACUCUGGUGGAGGCUCGGUUCUGACGUGCAAAUCGAUCGUCAAACGUGGGGCGAAAGACUAAUCG